This 320-nucleotide small nuclear RNA is filed under the name Nannospalax galili (Upper Galilee mountains blind mole rat). Its description in RNAcentral is "7SK RNA (ENSNGAG00000002495.1)". It matches the Rfam family "7SK RNA". From Rfam's summary of the family: 7SK was discovered as an abundant small nuclear RNA in the mid-70s but a possible function has only recently been suggested. Two independent studies have found that 7SK RNA binds the CDK9/cyclin T complex (known as elongation factor P-TEFb). P-TEFb activates transcription by phosphorylating the C-terminal domain of RNA polymerase II. Lineage: Eukaryota; Metazoa; Chordata; Mammalia; Rodentia; Spalacidae. The record is from RNAcentral.
AGAUGUGAGGGCGAUCUGGCUGCAAUACCUGUCUUUCAUUGAUCCCUAGGGUUGCUUCAGCUGAUCUGGCUUCGCUAGUCAGGGGUCCCCUUCUUGCCUCACAACUCCAUGUGUCCCUCCCUUACAAUGCAUCCUCAGUAGCAGAGGAUGACUUUCCUUAAGGGAAGAGGACUGUUACUCUGUAUGCUCUGUAUGCUCUGUAUGGGAGCAUCUCUGCUUCUCUGCUAGAACCUCCAAACGAGCUCUCAAGCAGAUCGCAUAUCAGUUGUCUGUCAAAACAAUUCAUCUCCCUUUUAUCUUAAAAUGUACCAUCCAUCUUU